AAUGAACGCUGGCGGCAGGCCUAACACAUGCAAGUCGAACGGAUCCUUCGGGAUUAGUGGCGGACGGGUGAGUAACGCGUGGGAACAUACCCUUUGGUACGGAAUAGCCUCGGGAAACUGGGAGUAAUACCGUAUGUGGUCGAGAGACGAAAGAUUUAUCGCCAAAGGAUUGGCCCGCGUUGGAUUAGGUAGUUGGUGGGGUAAUGGCCUACCAAGCCAACGAUCCAUAGCUGGUUUGAGAGGAUGAUCAGCCACACUGGGACUGAGACACGGCCCAGACUCCUACGGGAGGCAGCAGUGGGGAAUCUUAGACAAUGGGGGAAACCCUGAUCUAGCCAUGCCGCGUGAUCGAUGGAGGCCUUAGGGUUGUAAAGAUCUUUCAGGUGGGAAGAUAAUGACUGUACCACCAGAAGAAGCCCCGGCUAACUCCGUGCCAGCAGCCGCAGUAA
RNAcentral lists this ribosomal RNA (449 nucleotides) under uncultured bacterium. Its description in RNAcentral is "partial 16S ribosomal RNA". It matches the Rfam family "Bacterial small subunit ribosomal RNA", at positions 29 to 523 of the family's 1533-position model. The record is from RNAcentral.